RNAcentral lists this ribosomal RNA (705 nucleotides) under uncultured bacterium. Its description in RNAcentral is "bacterial SSU rRNA". It matches the Rfam family "Bacterial small subunit ribosomal RNA", at positions 57 to 751 of the family's 1533-position model. The record is from RNAcentral.
GCAAGUCGAGCGGAAACGAAGAGGUGCUUGCACCUCUGGCGUCGAGCGGCGGACGGGUGAGUAAUGCUUGGGAAUAUGCCUUAUGGUGGGGGACAACAGUUGGAAACGACUGCUAAUACCGCAUGAUGUCUACGGACCAAAGUGGGGGACCUUUGGGCCUCACGCCAUAAGAUUAGCCCAAGUGGGAUUAGCUAGUUGGUGAGGUAAUGGCUCACCAAGGCGACGAUCCCUAGCUGGUUUGAGAGGAUGAUCAGCCACACUGGGACUGAGACACGGCCCAGACUCCUACGGGAGGCAGCAGUGGGGAAUAUUGCACAAUGGGCGCAAGCCUGAUGCAGCCAUGCCGCGUGUGUGAAGAAGGCCUUCGGGUUGUAAAGCACUUUCAGUAAGGAGGAAAGGUUAAGUGUUAAUAGCACUUAGCUGUGACGUUACUUACAGAAGAAGCACCGGCUAACUCCGUGCCAGCAGCCGCGGUAAUACGGAGGGUGCGAGCGUUAAUCGGAAUUACUGGGCGUAAAGCGUACGCAGGCGGUUUGUUAAGCGAGAUGUGAAAGCCCCGGGCUCAACCUGGGAACUGCAUUUCGAACUGGCAAACUAGAGUGUGAUAGAGGGUGGUAGAAUUUCAGGUGUAGCGGUGAAAUGCGUAGAGAUCUGAAGGAAUACCGAUGGCGAAGGCAGCCACCUGGGUCAACACUGACGCUCAUG